This 121-nucleotide ribosomal RNA is filed under the name uncultured bacterium. RNAcentral's name for it is "partial 16S ribosomal RNA". It matches the Rfam family "Bacterial small subunit ribosomal RNA", at positions 1380 to 1500 of the family's 1533-position model. The record is from RNAcentral.
CUUGUACACACCGCCCGUCACACCAUGAGAGUUGGGAAUACCCGAAGCCUGUGAGCUAACUGUAAGGAGGCAGCAGUCGAAGGUAGAAUCAAUGAUUGGGGUGAAGUCGUAACAAGGUAUC